Molecule: unclassified non-coding RNA, 345 nt
Filed under: soil metagenome
Description: partial contains 5.8S ribosomal RNA, internal transcribed spacer 2, and large subunit ribosomal RNA
Rfam family: 5.8S ribosomal RNA (bases 1-119)
Source: RNAcentral
GAUGAAGAACGUAGUGAAAUGCGAUACAUAAUGUGAAUUGCAAAUUCAGUGAAUCAUCGAGUCUUUGAACGCACAUUGCGCCCCCUGGUAUUCCGGGGGGCAUGCCUGUCCGAGCGUCAUUGCUGCCCUCAAGCACGGCUUGUGUGUUGGGCCCCGUCCUCCGAUCCCGGGGGACGGGCCCGAAAGGCAGCGGCGGCACCGCGUCCGGUCCUCGAGCGUAUGGGGCUUUGUCACCCGCUCUGUAGGCCCGGCCGGCGCUUGCCGAUCAACCCAAAUUUUUAUCCAGGUUGACCUCGGAUCAGGUAGGGAUACCCGCUGAACUUAAGCAUAUCAAUAAGCGGAGGA